This 274-nucleotide ribosomal RNA is filed under the name uncultured bacterium. RNAcentral describes it as "partial 16S ribosomal RNA". It matches the Rfam family "Bacterial small subunit ribosomal RNA", at positions 523 to 796 of the family's 1533-position model. The record is from RNAcentral.
AUACGGAGGGUGCAAGCGUUAAUCGGGAUUACUGGGCGUAAAGCGUACGUAGGCGGUCCGUUAAGUUAGAUGUGAAAGCCCCGGGCUUAACCUGGGAACUGCAUUUAAAACUGGCGAACUAGAGUUGAGUAGAGGGGAGUGCAAUUUCAGGUGUAGCGGUGAAAUGCGUAGAGAUCUGAAGGAACACCAGUGGCGAAGGCGACUCCCUGGACUCGAACUGACGCUGAGGUACGAAAGCGUGGGUAGCAAACGGGAUUAGAAACCCUAGUAGUCC